This is a non-coding RNA of Drosophila suzukii, 987 nucleotides long. The record is from RefSeq and is a predicted model, not a curated record. Lineage: Eukaryota; Metazoa; Arthropoda; Insecta; Diptera; Drosophilidae.
UACUUGAUCCCACAAUAAACAAUUUGAUGUUUGGCGAUUUUGCUUUCUUGUGCUAUUUUUAUCACAGCUUUCCGAACCCCAAUUGGCGGAGAUAGCUUUUUCACCCAAACUGUACAAUGGACAUAAGGUUCGAUGCUGUUGCCGCAGUUGUUUUAAUGUUGUUGUUCACAUAAAAUCGGCAUGCAUGAAAUUGCACUACUCGAGCUGCGUUUCGCAAAAUCUCGGCCAAUUUACGACCCGCCUGUCGUGGCCCGAAUCUUACGCAAUCCGGACUUCGCAGCAACAACAUCGUUAUGCUUUAUCAAAAGAAAACAGCUGGAGUACACACGAAAAUCAAAUCAUCUUUAUAUAGUGAAUAUAUCGGAGCUGCAUAAUCGAUCUCGGCGGUCUCCGUUCGAACCGCCGCUGAUGAUUUUUUGGUGAUUUAUCUGUGGCAAAGCGUCUGCAGCCUCCGCCAACGUUCGAAUCUCACCUAAGUGCAUUUCAAUUUGGGGAGUGGAGCGAAUCGAGAUCGCGACAAUGGCGCAAAAAUCCCAUCGAAUGGGGGACAUCGGCUGCCCAGCAGCGCUGGCUUACAUAAUCGUUUGUCAAUUGUCAAAAUACCGGCAAGACCCUUAUCUAACGCCACAAAGUGCAAUUCAGCGAAUGAUUAACACGAAUAUGGGCCGCGACAACCACAGCAACAACAGAACUUGUACUGAUACCAAGUGACACGGGGUUUUGAUUCCAUUAAAGAUGCUUUAAAUCAAUGCCCUAAGUCGGGUAUUAUAUCAGCGAAUCGGACUGUGUCGCCUGGAUCUGGUUUCUUGACCCGCCCUGAACUCGCCGCACGCAAUUCAAUGAACGAGACAAGUCGACGCAAUCUGCAUGCCACCGCGUUGAUCCGUGACUCACCGAGGAACACAUUACAAUUUGCCAACCGUCGCUUGUGACAUCGUGAGCGACUACUGACGUUUUCGGGCAGCGGCUGCCUGUCUUCGAUUUCGU